CUACGGGCGGCUGCAGUGGGGAAUAUUGGACAAUGGGGGAAACCCUGAUCCAGCAAUGCCGCGUGUGUGAAGAAGGCCUGCGGGUUGUAAAGCACUUUCGGUUGGGAGGACUGCUUCUAGCACUAAUAUUGUUGGAAGUUGACGUUACCUUCAGAAGAAGCACCGGCUAACUCCGUGCCAGCAGCCGCGGUAAUACGGCGGGUGCAAGCGUUAAUCGGAAUUACUGGGCGUAAAGCGCGCGUAGGCGGCUAGAUCAGUCGGGUGUGAAAGCCCCGGGCUUAACCUGGGAACUGCAUCCGAUACUGUCUAGCUUGAGUACAGGAGAGGAGAGUGGAAUUCCACAUGUAGCGGUGAAAUGCGUAGAUAUGUGGAGGAACACCAAUGGCGAAGGCAGCUCUCUGGCCUGAUGCUGACGCUGAGGUGCGAAAGCGUGGGGAGCAAACAGGAUUAGAUACCCGCGUAGUC
Molecule: ribosomal RNA, 465 nt
Filed under: uncultured bacterium
Lineage: Bacteria
Description: partial 16S ribosomal RNA
Rfam family: Bacterial small subunit ribosomal RNA
Source: RNAcentral